Molecule: ribosomal RNA, 788 nt
Filed under: uncultured bacterium
Lineage: Bacteria
Description: bacterial SSU rRNA
Rfam family: Bacterial small subunit ribosomal RNA
Source: RNAcentral
AGAGUUUGAUCCUGGCUCAGAUUGAACGCUGGCGGCAUGCCUUACACAUGCAAGUCGAACGGCAGCAUGAUCUAGCUUGCUAGAUUGAUGGCGAGUGGCGAACGGGUGAGUAAUACAUCGGAACGUGCCCUGUAGUGGGGGAUAACUAGUCGAAAGAUUAGCUAAUACCGCAUACGACCUGAGGGUGAAAGUGGGGGACCGCAAGGCCUCAUGCUAUAGGAGCGGCCGAUGUCUGAUUAGCUAGUUGGUGAGGUAAAGGCUCACCAAGGCGACGAUCAGUAGCUGGUCUGAGAGGACGAUCAGCCACACUGGGACUGAGACACGGCCCAGACUCCUACGGGAGGCAGCAGUGGGGAAUUUUGGACAAUGGGCGAAAGCCUGAUCCAGCAAUGCCGCGUGUGUGAAGAAGGCCUUCGGGUUGUAAAGCACUUUUGUCCGGAAAGAAAUGGCCCUGGUUAAUACCUGGGGUCGAUGACGGUACCGGAAGAAUAAGGACCGGCUAACUACGUGCCAGCAGCCGCGGUAAUACGUAGGGUCCAAGCGUUAAUCGGAAUUACUGGGCGUAAAGCGUGCGCAGGCGGUUGUGCAAGACCGAUGUGAAAUCCCCGAGCUUAACUUGGGAAUUGCAUUGGUGACUGCACGGCUAGAGUGUGUCAGAGGGGGGUAGAAUUCCACGUGUAGCAGUGAAAUGCGUAGAGAUGUGGAGGAAUACCGAUGGCGAAAGCAGCCCCCUGGGAUAACACUGACGCUCAUGCACGAAAGCGUGGGUGGCGCUUAAUUGUGAUUUA